Molecule: non-coding RNA, 351 nt
Organism: Melozone crissalis (California towhee)
Lineage: Eukaryota; Metazoa; Chordata; Aves; Passeriformes; Passerellidae
Source: the annotation of a RefSeq genome assembly
GAGUGCGGGGGGGACCUCCAGCCACCCGGGGGGUCCCUGACGUUGCUGUGCCGCGCCUCUGGGUUCAGUUUUGGGAGUUAUGGAAUGUACUGGAUCUGCCAGAGACCUGGGCAGACGCUGGAAUACAUCGCCAAUAUCAGCAGCAGUGGUGGCAGCACCGGCUAUGCGCCGUCGGUCAAGGGCCAGUUCAGGAUCUCCACGGACAACGGGCAGAACUCGAUGACACUGACCAUGAACAACCUCAAGGACGAGGAUUCCGGAUCCUAUUUCUGCGCCAAACAUGUUGGGUCACGGCCACCCGGAGCGCUGUGGGACAAAGGGCAGAUGGGGAUCAGGAACCUGAUCGGCUGA